This 127-nucleotide non-coding RNA is filed under the name unclassified sequences. The record is from Rfam by way of RNAcentral.
GCUAACGGCAGUUGCGCCAUGAAAAUGGCAAGACGGGUCGGGGCUGGCAUAGAAAGGCCGGUAGGCAGUGCAGCGGAAGGUAAGAAAACCGCCAAGCGAAAUUAAGUCGGGAAAACUGAAUGAUACG